AGCAGCCGCGGUAAUUCCAGCUCCAAUAGCGUAUAUUAAAGUUGUUGCAGUUAAAAAGCUCGUAGUUGAAUUUCGGGGUUAGCAGGUCGGUCGUGCCAUCGGUAUGAACUGGUCUCGCUGAUCCCUCCCUCUUGACGAACUGUGAUGCCAUUAAUUUGGUGUCGCAGGGAAUCAGGACUGUUACUUUGAAAAAAUUAGAGUGUUUAAAGCAGGCUCACGCUUGAAUACAUUAGCAUGGAAUAAUGAAAUAGGACGUUUGAUCCUAUUUUGUUGGUUUCUAGGAUUGACGUAAUGAUUAAUAGGGAUAGUUGGGGGCAUUAGUAUUCAAUUGUCAGAGGUGAAAUUCUUGGAUUUAUUGAAGACUAACUACUGCGAAAGCAUUUGCCAAGGAUGUUUUCAUUAAUCAAGAACGAAAGUUAGGGGAUCGAAGACGAUCAGAUACCGUCGUAGUCUUAACCAUAAACUAUGCCGACUAGGGAUCGGAUGAUGUUAAUUUUUUAAUGACUCA
This 508-nucleotide ribosomal RNA is filed under the name uncultured Glomus. RNAcentral's name for it is "SSU rRNA". It matches the Rfam family "Eukaryotic small subunit ribosomal RNA", at positions 569 to 1078 of the family's 1831-position model. RNAcentral also lists the same sequence under 1 other name. Lineage: Eukaryota; Fungi; Glomeromycota; Glomeromycetes; Glomerales; Glomeraceae. The record is from RNAcentral.